CCUACGGGCGGCAGCAGUGAGGAAUAUUGGUCAAUGGGCGGAAGCCUGAACCAGCCAAGUAGCGUGCAGGAUGACGGCCCUACGGGUUGUAAACUGCUUUUAUACGGGAAUAACGCGCCUUACGUGUAGGGCUUUGCAUGUACCGUAUGAAUAAGGACCGGCUAAUUCCGUGCCAGCAGCCGCCGUAAUACGGAGGAUCCGAGCGUUAUCCGGAUUCAUUGGGUUUAAAGGGUGCGUAGGUUGUUUUAUAAGUUAGCGGUGAAAUACCGAUGCUCAACAUCGGGGCUGCCGCUGAUACUGUAGGACUAGAGAUCGGAUGCAGCAGGCGGAAUGUGUAGUGUAGCGGUGAAAUGCAUAGAUAUUACACAGAACACCGAUUGCGAAGGCAGCUUGCUAGGCCGGAUCUGACACUGAUGCACGAAAGCGUGGGGAUCGAACAGGAUUAGAUACCCUUGUAGUC
Molecule: ribosomal RNA, 460 nt
Filed under: uncultured bacterium
Lineage: Bacteria
Description: partial 16S ribosomal RNA
Rfam family: Bacterial small subunit ribosomal RNA
Source: RNAcentral